RNAcentral lists this non-coding RNA (24 nucleotides) under Mus musculus (house mouse). Lineage: Eukaryota; Metazoa; Chordata; Mammalia; Rodentia; Muridae. The record is from RNAcentral.
UGUGAGAAGAUGGUCAAUGCCCGC